UACAAAGUAGCGCAAUGGGUAGCGCACAUGAUUUGUAAUCGUGAAGUUGUAGGUUCGAAUCCUAUCUUUGAAAACA
This 76-nucleotide transfer RNA is filed under the name Agathobacter rectalis. RNAcentral's name for it is "[Eubacterium] rectale tRNA-Thr". It matches the Rfam family "tRNA". From Rfam's summary of the family: Transfer RNA (tRNA) molecules are approximately 80 nucleotides in length. Their secondary structure includes four short double-helical elements and three loops (D, anti-codon, and T loops). The record is from RNAcentral. RNAcentral also lists the same sequence under 4 other names. Lineage: Bacteria; Bacillati; Bacillota; Clostridia; Lachnospirales; Lachnospiraceae.